The submitters of this non-coding RNA (100 nucleotides) gave its source as unclassified sequences. The record is from Rfam.
GCAAUACAUCAUGAGUGAAUAAGAAAUUAUUCCGCCAACCUGCUUGAGGAAGUAAGGUGGCAGAGAAUGUGGUCUUAAUUGACAAUUAGGUUCCUCGUUG